GGAAUUGUUCGCAAUGGGCGCAAGCCUGACGACGCAACGCCGCGUGGAGGAUGAAGAUCUUCGGGUCGUAAACUCCUUUCGAUCGGGACGAAUGGCCGGUGACCUAAUACGUCCCUUGAUUGACGGUACCGAGAGAAAGAGCCCCGGCCAACCCCGUGCCAGCAGCCGCGGUAAUACGGGGGGGGCAAGCGUUGUUCGGAAUUACUGGGCGUAAAGGGCGCGUAGGCGGCCUGCUAAGUCGGACGUGAAAUCCCUCGGCUCAACCGGGGAACUGCGUCCGAUACUGACAGGCUCGAAUCCGGGAGAGGGAUGUGGAAUUCCAGGUGUAGCGGUGAAAUGCGUAGAUAUCUGGAGGAACACCGGUGGCGAAGGCGGCAUCCUGGACCGGCAUUGACGCUGAGGCGCGAAAGCCAGGGGAGC
This 420-nucleotide ribosomal RNA is filed under the name uncultured bacterium. RNAcentral describes it as "bacterial SSU rRNA". It matches the Rfam family "Bacterial small subunit ribosomal RNA", at positions 358 to 769 of the family's 1533-position model. The record is from RNAcentral.